AGACCCAACCUUCAUCACAUCAUCGGUAGCUUUUGGGCCACCCCGAUU
Molecule: unclassified non-coding RNA, 48 nt
Filed under: Mesorhizobium prunaredense
Lineage: Bacteria; Pseudomonadati; Pseudomonadota; Alphaproteobacteria; Hyphomicrobiales; Phyllobacteriaceae
Description: Tombus_5
Source: RNAcentral